ACAGAAACUAAAACAGGAAGUACCGGUGCUAAGGUCCAUUCAGCACAAGUCUGACCAUUCGGAAUACAUGCUUCAAGACUGUUUUGAUCACGCGGACUGGGAUAUGUUCCGGGUUGCCUCGGAUAAUAACAUUGAUGUAUACACGGACACGGUGGCUGAGUUUAAAAGGAAGUGUAUAGGGGAUGUUGUUCCCACUGUGACUAUUAAAACCUACUCAAACCAGAAACCGUGGAUAGAUGGCAGCAUUUGUGCUAAACUGGAAGCGCGAAGCACCGCAUUUAACCAUGGCAAGGUGACUGGGAAUAUGGUUGAAUACAAACAGUGUAGUUAUUCCCUCCGUAAGGCAAUCAAACAGGCAAAACGUCAGUACAGAGACAAAGUGGAGUCGCAAUUCAACGGCUCAGACACAAGACGUAUCUGGCAGGGUCCACAGACAAUCACAGAUUACAAAGGGAACACCAGCCACGUCGCGGACACCGAUGUCUUGCUCCCAGACAAGCUAAACACCUUCUUUGCCCGCUUUGAGGAUAACACAGUGCCAUCGACACAGUCCGCUUCCAAGAACAGUGGGCUCCCCUUCGCCGUGGCUGACUCUGCUGUCCCCACUUGCUUCAAGAUGUCCACCAUUGUUCCUGUACACAAGAAAGCGAAGGUACCAAAAGGGGGUUGGCAUCAAUCAGAGAGGAGCUGUCAGUGGUGCAGAAGUUCCAGUCCUACACCCAAGAUGCCGACCAGAACUACGACUUUGCCAGCAACAGUGUCGUCCAGCAUCUUGAGCCCGGCGAUGAGAUCUACAUCAAGCUGGACCGGGGAUAAGGCAAGAAGUACAGCACCUUCUCCGGCUUCAUAGUCUACGCCGAUGAACAGAUCAUCUAUUUUACGCUAGGCUAUUCACUUCAUCUGCUAUAUUCUCUCGUUUAGAUUGGUUAACCCGCUGUCGUUUAGAAGACAGGUGGUUAAAGAGAAACUGGGGGACCUUGACACAGAAGUGAACCUUUAAAUUUACACUAUAAUGGAUGUUUAGUUUUACGAGUAAAAAUCUCCAAAUGAUGCAAUGUCCAAUAAAGAAAGUUGAACACGUGGAAACAAGGAAGGUGAUGAGUGAAUGUUUCAUGUGUAUAAGCCAAUAUUAAUGCAGGUUAAACAGGAAUGGUGUUAAUGCUUCAUUGCUGUUCAUGGCUUUUGUCAUUGGGUCAACUAAUCAAUUCAUUUCAAUUGGUCUUGUAAGGCAUCUCAGUUCAUGUUAGUCUAUAGAAUAUGGGAAUAAUACUCAGAGGUGAUUAAAACUCUACUGUAUGAA
Molecule: long non-coding RNA, 1300 nt
Filed under: Salmo salar (Atlantic salmon)
Lineage: Eukaryota; Metazoa; Chordata; Actinopteri; Salmoniformes; Salmonidae
Description: lncRNA (ENSSSAG00000096412.1)
Source: RNAcentral